RNAcentral lists this transfer RNA (68 nucleotides) under Striatobalanus tenuis. RNAcentral describes it as "tRNA-Leu". It matches the Rfam family "tRNA". From Rfam's summary of the family: Transfer RNA (tRNA) molecules are approximately 80 nucleotides in length. Their secondary structure includes four short double-helical elements and three loops (D, anti-codon, and T loops). Further hydrogen bonds mediate the characteristic L-shaped molecular structure. tRNAs have two regions of fundamental functional importance: the anti-codon, which is responsible for specific mRNA codon recognition, and the 3' end, to which the tRNAs corresponding amino acid is attached (by aminoacyl-tRNA synthetases). tRNAs cope with the degeneracy of the genetic code in two manners: having more than one tRNA (with a specific anti-codon) for a particular amino acid; and 'wobble' base-pairing, i.e. permitting non-standard base-pairing at the 3rd anti-codon position. Lineage: Eukaryota; Metazoa; Arthropoda; Thecostraca; Balanomorpha; Balanidae. The record is from RNAcentral.
AUAAAUUUGGCAGAUAAUUGUAUUAGAUUUAGAAUCUAAAAAUGGAAAUUUAAGCUUUCCAAUUUAUA